GCUCUUUUAGCUCUGCUGACCGCGGAUGGCUUAAGUGUUAACAGCUCAGUGGGCCCUUUGCCUUUUCUCAUGAGUCGGCUGCCCUGUGCCAGCAAGGGCAAAGGGCCAGUGUAACAGCCUUUUGUAUCUGCACUCGUGGCUCCUGAGCUCCUGUUCGGCACACAGGAAAAAUGAGGUCGCACCAACAAACUGAAGGAUGGUAAAUGUUGAGGAUUUUAUUGCCAAUGAAAGCGGCUGUCACUGGGAGCUGAAAAGGUAAUGGAAAGCUGAAAAGCGGAUAAGGUGGGUAGGUACCUGAAGUCUGGCCAUCUACGGCAGCUGGAUUCUUCUCCAAAGUUAUACUGUCAAGCUGUCCCUCUGAAGCCAAGCCACUUCUCUUUGACAUCCAGCCGUAGUCUCUGCUCCUCUCCAACUGAGUAUGAGGGAGAUGUUUCCUAUUAUCCUUGAUAAUGUGCCAUGAACAUAUGAAAAAACAUAGAAACAUGAAGAAAACAAGAAGACAAAAAUCACUAACAUCUGGUUGGCUGUAUAGAAACAAAGCUGAUUCUGGUCUCGCUCUAUACCCCAGGUUGGAGUGCAGUGGUAAGAUCACAGCUCACUGCUGCCUUGACUUCCUGGGCUCAAGUGAUUCUCCUGCCUCAGUCUCCUCAGUAGCUCGGACUACAGCUUGCAAAUGGAUCUUACAGACGUUGUCACAGAGACAAGAAAAGCAUAUAAAAAAAUAAAUAAAGAUGAGCUCCUUUCAAGGUGACUGACUAGAAGCAGCUGGUGUGUGCUGCUCUCACAAAGAGAAGAAAGAGUGGUGAGUGGACCAUCCAGGUGGACACAUUGGGAUUCAUCAAGGAAACAAUACACAGAAAACAGAAGAAUGAGACAGGACAAUCAUUCACCCAGAAGUGGCAUAGAGCCGGGAGAUGGCCCUCACCAUGGUUAGUAAGUGAGAGUCCCCAGGGAGUCACAUUUCUGCCACAGACCUUUGCAACCCUGGGCCCAGGCGAUCCCCCAUGACACCCGUGCCCCACCAGGGCCUCUGGACUGACAUAGACAGCUACAUGGAGUGUGGGCAGAACUGCCACUCAGGCACUCAUGAAAUCCUUGGAGCUUUUCAUCCCCAGGCACCCUGGUACCAAUGGCUGCAGCUGCGGCAAUGGGGGAGGACAGGCUCUCUUGCAUGUCCUCAGAAUAGGAACACAAUCCAUGGGGCUAAGCAGUGGGUGGACUGUGGGGCUCUUCUACACAGCCCGUUGCCAGACUGGCCUGGGAUCCUAGCAUGGUCACAAAAGUCCCACCUGGGCUCUUGAGGAACAGAUCUGUACUUCCCUGGCAUGGAACUCCUGGAGGGGAUGGGCAGGCUGCUGUUUUUGCUGCUCCACAGCCCUCACUCCUGUUGCCCUCAGUCUUGGGAGUGAGCACAGUGAUUGGGGACUAACAUAGACCCCCAGCACAGUGUACAGACUUGCAGAAAAGCAGCCAGACUCUUUUCCACAUGGGUCCUCACCCCUGCUACUCUUCACUGGGCAGCACCUCUUGACCUUGGCCCCCAGCACAACCAACCCGCCCCCACAUGAACGCUUUGUCAGUGAUGGCUCUGUGUUUCUCUGAGGAGAAAAAUCCAAAAGACAA
Long non-coding RNA from Homo sapiens (human), 1623 nucleotides. Ensembl annotates it as long intergenic non-protein coding RNA 2334. Lineage: Eukaryota; Metazoa; Chordata; Mammalia; Primates; Hominidae. The record is from Ensembl.